CAUCAGGAGGAGACUUUCCAUCAACAUUCAGUGGUACAGCGCGGGGUGGUCUAUGACUAAGCUGGAAAUGCUUGAAUUGGACGGGAGCAAGAUCAAAGGGAGAUGAAAGAGCAAAAAGGAAAAGAGUGGUCACUAGUUGAAGUUGCUUUGAAGACAUCUCCUAAAAAAAGCAUCUCAUCCCAUUCACACCCACUGAAAAGGCUUCUGCGCCUAUCUCAGAACAUUGCCCACAUGAGAAGCUGGGAGGUGGGACCUGCAUCAAAUCCCUGAAGCCGUGUCACCAUUCCUGUGCCGCUGUGGACCAAGGAGGUCUUAGGGACAAGAGGCCAGAUUCUCCACCUUCACUUCCAGUGAGGUAUGUCUCCCAUGGACCUCACGGGGCUACUCAUGGAGGAAACACCGUUCCACAAAGUGCAGCUCAGAUGGGCAUGAUUUGGCCUCCACCAUCUGGUGGUUUUAAUUAUGGAGAGAAACUUCAGCAAACUCUGAAUGGAGGUGUUCCGGCUGGCGGCAGUCCGAAUGAGGAAGAGGCUGGAGCACAAUCAAGCUAAUCGUCGCGUUAAAUGUCUGCCGUUGGGUGACCAGCUCUUGCCCGCUGAGAGCACCUUGCUCCGCAGACGGCCGCGUCGAAUUCGAGGGAGCGACGGCUUGUGCUCGCACAGCGCUUUGCAUUUGAUGGGAUCCCCAAAGGAGCUGCGAAUUUGUCAGGCUGAAAUAUAGUCCGUUCGCUACUGAAGUCAGCUUCCCCUGGCGUGGAAAGCACAUAACUCUGCAAGACAACUGUGUCGAGCAGGGAGUGAUGAACAACGCGCUGCGGAAACUCAGAAGGGGAAUUGGGGCAGGUGCAGUGCAAUGAUCGAACCUGACGUUUGGGAGGAAUGUGGGAGUUUUUACAAGCCAAUUUCUGAAAAAUACAACGUGGCAUCUCUCAUGUAAUCAGAAUUUCCGGUGUGGGUUUCUUCUGAAAGCAGAGCCUCUAGCUUUAGGCACCUGCCAGAUCCGCUGGCUGUAAGACAGGGGGGAAACAUUUUCUUUUGACCCUAAAAAAAGAUGUAUGAGAAGUGAGUAGAUGCUAUACUUCCAAUAUUAGAAGAGGUUACUGCCUUUAGUCUUGAUCACACCACUGCCACAGAGUAUGGCUUCAUCAGAAAGCGGUGAAGAAAAUGGUGAAACGCCUCCUUUGCCCACGUACAGACGCACAAAGGUGGAUAUAGAGCUCCCAAGAGGAGAGAAACACACCACAGCAUCCUCCUCCUUGCUCUGAUUGAUGGGACGCUGCACCCGAAAGGCAACGGGCGGGAAAACGCUGGAGCCGUCGCAGGUCAAACUUUUGGUAUUGCUCAAAAAAAGGAGAAGUUGGACUAUGGACGCAUGAGCAAAUUGCCCUGAGGAUCCCAUGUAUCAAUUGACCUGUGAGAACCACGUCUCUUCUGCAGUGAAAGCCAGGCAA
Non-coding RNA from Phalacrocorax carbo (great cormorant), 1450 nucleotides. Lineage: Eukaryota; Metazoa; Chordata; Aves; Suliformes; Phalacrocoracidae. The record is from RefSeq and is a predicted model, not a curated record.